This 346-nucleotide long non-coding RNA is filed under the name Ictidomys tridecemlineatus (thirteen-lined ground squirrel). Its description in RNAcentral is "lncRNA (ENSSTOG00000030231.1)". Lineage: Eukaryota; Metazoa; Chordata; Mammalia; Rodentia; Sciuridae. The record is from RNAcentral.
GGAAGAUCCACAAGCUGGGAAAUCCUGUUCUGUUGGAGUCAGGGAAGUGUAGAAAUGAUGAAGCAGCUGCCUCCAGGUUGGUUUUGAGUCACCUCUGGUUAAACUAAUGGUACAUUAGUGGAAGUCAUUCCUUAUUCUCCGUUGAAACCACUCACCAGAUCACUCACAGAUAUACUGAGUAUUUCUAUCGUAACCUAAGUCAGAAGAAGGAUGUGGAGUUUUCAAAUGGUCAGGUUACCAUUGUCAAAUUGAAGGGGAGAACCGUGAUCAUUUAGCUGGAAGCGUCUUUUUCGACAUUUCAGGAAGGUGAAGAUAUUUCUUUCAGACUCUCUCUCUCUAUGCUAUA